CACAAAGACUACCCUGGCCAAGAUUUUGCUAAAUUAAAAUACGACUGUACACAGUUCCUAAACUAGAGUGGUCAAUCCCAUCUUGACACACGCACCGACAAGUCAAGUACUUGACUACACCCAGCAGCCUUCCGUCACUGAAUUAGAAAUUCAGGUAGUCCAGUGCCUAAGUGCAGUGAGUUGCUUGCAAGUCACCGUGGCGG
This 203-nucleotide long non-coding RNA is filed under the name Elaeis guineensis (African oil palm). Its description in RNAcentral is "long non-coding RNA (EGUI_LNC044090)". Lineage: Eukaryota; Viridiplantae; Streptophyta; Magnoliopsida; Arecales; Arecaceae. The record is from RNAcentral.